UAGUUUGCUGAGCCCCCGAUUUUCUUGGCCUAGCCGAUCGUUUUGGUCGUCUGUAUAUAUUUAAGAUUGGAUCUGGAGGCAUGCAAUCAAAAUAACCUCAUCUCUCUCUCCAACUAGAUCUCUACGUCCAGCGGAUAUUCAACAAAACGGCUAAAGGAAAAAGGCGGGACAUGGCUCCAAUGUUCUCCAGCGCCGGCCUCCGGUCAUGUCCUUUCCCAUCCCUGCCAACUGUAAUGACGUGUUUCAAGUAUGAAAUUGGAUCGAAAAGCAAUCGAGGCGCAGAAACUAACAGGCGACUAUCGGCAUGUCAGCUGCGACGAGAACAACGUACGACUGCUGUAGACGCGCAGAUGCAGCCCUACUUAGUUGCGACGGCAACGACGAGGAAUGGCCGCAUGUCCACAAGUUCAGCGGUGCAAGGGCAACAUACGGCGCACGACGACGGCGCCGCUAAUGAUGUACGGUUGCGGAGAUCAUGGGAACCUCCCAUUGAGAUCUUCCGAUGAUCCAUGCAUGGCAUCACGUCUGCAUCAUGUACAUGCAUGCCGUUAGG
Molecule: long non-coding RNA, 553 nt
Organism: Triticum dicoccoides
Lineage: Eukaryota; Viridiplantae; Streptophyta; Magnoliopsida; Poales; Poaceae
Exons: 3
Source: RefSeq, a predicted model, not a curated record